RNAcentral lists this ribosomal RNA (510 nucleotides) under uncultured bacterium. Its description in RNAcentral is "bacterial SSU rRNA". It matches the Rfam family "Bacterial small subunit ribosomal RNA", at positions 98 to 613 of the family's 1533-position model. The record is from RNAcentral.
GCGAAAGGGUGCGUAACACGUGGGGAAUUUACCAAGGAAGUGGGGAAUAGCUCGGCGAGAAGCCGAAUUAAUACCGCAUGUGAUCGAAAGAUCAAAGCCGGGGACCGCAAGGGCCUGGCGCUUUUUGAGAAGCCCGCGGCCCAUCAGCUUGUUGGCGGGGUAACGGCCUACCAAGGCUUCGAUCGGUAGCCGGCCUGAGAGGGCACACGGCCACACUGGCACUGAAACACGGGCCAGACUCCUACGGGAGGCAGCAGUGGGGAAUCUUGCACAAUGGAGGAAACUCUGAUGCAGCGACGCCGCGUGAGCGAUGAAGCCCUUCGGGGUGUAAACCCCUUUCGACCCGGAAGAAUGCCCGCAAGGGUUUGACGGUACGGGUAUAAGAAGCCCCGGUUAACUACGUGCCAGCAGCCGGGUAAAACGUAGGGGGCCAGGUGCUCGGAAUUACUGGGCGUAAAGGGUCCCGUAGGCGGUGUGGCAAGUCCGGGAAGUGAAAUCUCUGGGGUUAAC